ACGAUGAAACUUAAAUGAUUUCUUCGGAAUGAACUUAAGUGGAUUAGUGGCGGACGGGUGAGUAACGCGUGAGUAACCUGCCUUACACAAGGGGAUAGCCGUUGGAAACGACGAAUAAUACCCUAUGAAACUAUCACUUCGCAUGAAGCGGUAGUCAAAGUGUUAGCGGUGUAAGAUGGACUUGCGUCUGAUUAGCUAGUUGGUGAGAAAAAAGCCCACCAAGGCAACGAUCAGUAGCCGACUUGAGAGAGUGUACGGCCACAUUGGGACUGAGACACGGCCCAGACUCCUACGGGAGGCAGCAGUGGGGAAUUUUGCACAAUGGGGGAAACCCUGAUGCAGCGACGCCGCGUGAUUUAGAAGGCCUUCGGGUUGUAAAAAUCUUUUGUAUAGGAAGAAAAUGACAGUACUAUACGAAUAAGGUCCGGCUAAUUACGUGCCAGCAGCCGCGGUAAUACGUAAGGACCGAGCGUUGUCCGGAAUCAUUGGGCGUAAAGGGUACGUAGGCGGGUCAUUAAGUUAGAAGUCAAAGGCUAUAGCUCAACUAUAGUAAGCUUCUAAAACUGGAGACCUUGAGUAAUGGAAGGGAAAGUGGAAUUCCUAGUGUAGCGGUGGAAUGCGCAGAUAUUAGGAGGAAUACCGGUGGCGAAGGCGACUUUCUGGCC
This 665-nucleotide ribosomal RNA is filed under the name uncultured Eubacteriales bacterium. Its description in RNAcentral is "bacterial SSU rRNA". It matches the Rfam family "Bacterial small subunit ribosomal RNA", at positions 53 to 734 of the family's 1533-position model. Lineage: Bacteria; Bacillati; Bacillota; Clostridia; Eubacteriales. The record is from RNAcentral.